Molecule: ribosomal RNA, 253 nt
Filed under: uncultured bacterium
Lineage: Bacteria
Description: partial 16S ribosomal RNA
Rfam family: Bacterial small subunit ribosomal RNA
Source: RNAcentral
UACGAAGGGGGCUAGCGUUGCUCGGAAUCACUGGGCGUAAAGCGCACGUAGGCGGCUUUUUAAGUCAGGGGUGAAAUCCUGGAGCUCAACUCCAGAACUGCCUUUGAUACUGAGAGGCUCGAGUCCGGGAGAGGUGAGUGGAACUGCGAGUGUAGAGGUGAAAUUCGUAGAUAUUCGCAAGAACACCAGUGGCGAAGGCGGCUCACUGGACCGGUACUGACGCUGAUGCGCGAAAGCGUGGGGAGCAAACGGG